This 589-nucleotide ribosomal RNA is filed under the name Bacillus sp. (in: firmicutes). RNAcentral describes it as "bacterial SSU rRNA". It matches the Rfam family "Bacterial small subunit ribosomal RNA", at positions 57 to 628 of the family's 1533-position model. Lineage: Bacteria; Bacillati; Bacillota; Bacilli; Caryophanales; Bacillaceae. The record is from RNAcentral.
GCAAGUCGAGCGGACGGAUGGGAGCUUGCUCCCUGAAGUCAGCGGCGGACGGGUGAGUAACACGUGGGCAACCUGCCUGUAAGACUGGGAUAACUUCGGGAAACCGGAGCUAAUACCGGAUAAUGCACAGCCUCUCAUGAGGCUAUGCUGAAAGAUGGUUUCGGCUAUCACUUACAGAUGGGCCCGCGGCGCAUUAGCUAGUUGGUGAGGUAACGGCUCACCAAGGCAACGAUGCGUAGCCGACCUGAGAGGGUGAUCGGCCACACUGGGACUGAGACACGGCCCAGACUCCUACGGGAGGCAGCAGUAGGGAAUCUUCCGCAAUGGACGAAAGUCUGACGGAGCAACGCCGCGUGAGUGAUGAAGGUUUUCGGAUCGUAAAACUCUGUUGUCAGGGAAGAACAAGUGCCGGAGUAACUGCCGGCACCUUGACGGUACCUGACCAGAAAGCCACGGCUAACUACGUGCCAGCAGCCGCGGUAAUACGUAGGUGGCAAGCGUUGUCCGGAAUUAUUGGGCGUAAAGCGCGCGCAGGGCGGUCUCUUAAGNCUGAUGUGAAAGCCCACGGCUCAACCGUGGAGGGUCAUUG